This 446-nucleotide ribosomal RNA is filed under the name Serratia symbiotica. Its description in RNAcentral is "bacterial SSU rRNA". It matches the Rfam family "Bacterial small subunit ribosomal RNA", at positions 22 to 464 of the family's 1533-position model. Lineage: Bacteria; Pseudomonadati; Pseudomonadota; Gammaproteobacteria; Enterobacterales; Yersiniaceae. The record is from RNAcentral.
GCUCAGAUUGAACGCUGGCGGCAGGCCUAACACAUGCAAGUCGAGCGGUAGCACAAGAGAGCUUGCUCUCUGGGUGACGAGCGGCGGACGGGUGAGUAAUGUCUGGGAAACUGCCUGAUGGCGGGGGAUAACUAGUGGAAACGGUAGCUAAUACCGCAUAACGUCGCAAGACCAAAGUGGGGGACCUUCGGGCCUCACGCCAUCAGAUGUGCCCAGGUGGGAUUAGCUGGUAGGUGGGGUAACGGCUCACCUAGGCGACGAUCCCUAGCUGGUCUGAGAGGAUGACCAGCCACACUGGAACUGAGACACGGUCCAGACUCCUACGGGAGGCAGCAGUGGGGAAUAUUGCACAAUGGGCGCAAGCCUGAUGCAGCCAUGCCGCGUGUGUGAAGAAGGCCUUCGGGUUGUAAAGCACUUUCAGCGAGGAGGAAGGGUAAUGUGUUAAU